Molecule: ribosomal RNA, 207 nt
Filed under: uncultured bacterium
Lineage: Bacteria
Description: partial 16S ribosomal RNA
Rfam family: Bacterial small subunit ribosomal RNA
Source: RNAcentral
UCCGUAGGCGGGCGAUUAAGUCAGAGGUGAAAUCCCACAGCUCAACUGUGGAACUGCCUUUGAUACUGGUUGUCUUGAGUUACAGUGAAGUAGAUAGAAUAUGUAGUGUAGCGGUGAAAUGCAUAGAUAUUACAUAGAAUACCGAUUGCGAAGGCAGUCUACUAACAGUUAACUGACGCUAAGGGACGAAAGCGUGGGGAGCGAACA